CCUACGGGUGGCAGCAGUCGAGAAUCUUUCACAAUGGGCGAAAGCCUGAUGGAGCGACGCCGCGUGGGGGACGAAGGGCUUCGGCUCGUAAACCCCUGUCAUUUGCGACCAAACCGCACGACCUAAUACGUUGUGCGCUGAUGGUAGCAAAAGAGGAAGGGACGGCUAACUCUGUGCCAGCAGCCACGGUAAGACAGAGGUCCCAAGCGUUGUUCGGAUUCACUGGGCGUAAAGGGUGCGUAGGCGGUUGGAUAAGUCGGUUGUAAAAUCUCCAAGCUCAACUUGGAAAGGGCAACCGAAACUGUCCGGCUAGAGGAAUGGAGGGGAGACUGAAAUUCUCGGUGUAGCAGUAAAAUGCGUAGAUAUCGAGAGGAACACCGGUGGCGAGGGCGA
This 393-nucleotide ribosomal RNA is filed under the name uncultured Verrucomicrobiota bacterium. RNAcentral describes it as "uncultured Verrucomicrobia bacterium partial 16S ribosomal RNA". It matches the Rfam family "Bacterial small subunit ribosomal RNA", at positions 338 to 724 of the family's 1533-position model. Lineage: Bacteria; Pseudomonadati; Verrucomicrobiota. The record is from RNAcentral.